Molecule: non-coding RNA, 1993 nt
Organism: Heterocephalus glaber (naked mole-rat)
Lineage: Eukaryota; Metazoa; Chordata; Mammalia; Rodentia; Bathyergidae
Source: RefSeq, a predicted model, not a curated record
GACAUAGAUCGAUAGUAAUAAAAAUGAAUCAUGCUUCUAGGUUGCCAGGGGAACAUACAACAACUUAAUUAGUUUUUCAAAAGUUGCAUCACUAAAUUAAGGUAACUACAAGUCCAAUGAAGAAAUUUUUAAAACAAAUCUUUAAAAUCAUUAAAGGAGAGAACCAAUGAGAUAUUUUGGCUGACUAAUUAUAAGACCUAAUUAUAUUCCUAUUCCUCUUUUUCAUCUAUGUUUUCAUGCACGCAUGCCUGCCUAUACCUCCAGGAAUAAAGGCAUGCCUAGAAUAAAACUGGAGGGCUGCACUGAGAUGGACUGAAGCAGGUGUCUGGGCUACAAAGGAGACAGGCUGGACUCAGCUACUGGCAGUUAACAUUGAUGAUCAUGCAGAACUUCAUUUAAAUAAAGUUAAAGAGCCGUAUGUGGCCAGUGGCAACUAUACCGGACAGUGCAGCCUUCAUCAUUCCUAAGUGAUACUUGGCAAAUGGAUGCCUGCAAGAAGGGCAGUGGUGGUAAGAGAUUUCACUGUUUGAUUUGGAGUUCAUUCCAAGGGAAAUUCUCCAAGAGCCACAGCUCAGGCAUGGAUCCAAACAUAUAACCCAAGAAAGACCAACAAAAGGAACAAGAGAAACAGAAGCAAAAGAUAUUUCAGCCAUUCCCUGUGAGACUAAAUUAUGAAAAGCAGAUGGCUUAUUCAAACAUAUGGAUAUGACAGUGCAAGUUCUGGUGAGGACAGAAGCAUCUCAGAGAACAUUUUCUCCUUGAGAAUCCAAGAAAGGUUGUGUCUGUGGUCUGUGUUCCUUUCUACUGGGGACAGUGGAUGGAGGAAAGCAAAAACGGAGCCCUGGGAUGAUCAUGCCAUGAGACAGCAGGAAAUUGGGGCCUCCAAAUCUCUGCAGGAAGGAAAGGACUGCAGACCAAAAACAGCUAAAUUCUUAUGUCAGGGAGCAAUACAAUCUAUUGAGCUAAGCUACCAAACAUCCACCAUCAAGUGAGCAGCUCCUUCUACCAUGUGCUCCAGACAUGACGACUGCCUUGCCACAGCUCCAAAGCCAUGAGGCCAAUUGGUUAUGGACUGAAACCUCCCAAACUGUGAGCCCAAAUAAACCUUUCCUUCUUAUAAGUCAAUUAUUUCAGGUUCCUUGUCACAAUGAUGGAAAGCUGACUGACACAGGGAACAAAUGGACGCUGAAGCAAACCCCCUUUUUAUCCUAUUAAGUACUUAGGUGGAUUAGGGUAGAACUACUUUCUUACUGCAAAGUCCAGCCUCAAAUAUGAGGCUGGUCCUAGGAGGAAGAAGUGGGUGAAGUGGUGGAAUGAUUUUGAUUUACAAGAUAAACAAAGACUUGGCUAUUAGUUCAACCACUGUAGGAGAAGAAUGUCUUAGGAAGAUGUAAGGAGAGCACACCCUGAGCUAAUAAUCAGUUUCUUUCCAUGUUUCCUCUUUUAAUUAAUAAAAAUCAACAAAUCCAUAUAAAUCAACACCUUUUGCUUGAGUAUCACAGAGAACUGAUAAUGCAUUUUGAUGUUUGCCCAUGCAGAGGUGCACUUUCAAAGUCAACAAAAACUUAUGAAUACAAAAGCCCAAAGAAGGACAAAGGGACUUUAUAAACCAAGGCAGACAACUUCUGAUAUAUUAAUAAAAAUCAUGGUAAUUUACAUCUUUCGAGGCUCACUUUUUGCUGGACAUUGUUUUAUGUGCUUUUCAUCCAUAUAACACACAAUCUUACUCAAAACACAAUGACACAUGAUGCACAGACUAUUAAUAUCUCUACUGUGUAGAUUAAGAAACCAAGUCUUACAAGUAACUAUUAACACUCAGCUAAAUUUCAGAUCAGGAGAUGGGUCAUUUUUAAAGAAAAGUAUUUUCAAAGCAUAUUUAUUCUCAACGCAAGUUGCAUGGGAUAUUUCAUCUUUUAAUUAAAAACUGGAGGGUAUUUUACUUUUAGUUUCAUUCAUAUAUUGGAAAAUAAUACAAGGUGGUUCGACAGGUACC